This 169-nucleotide microRNA precursor is filed under the name Medicago truncatula (barrel medic). Its description in RNAcentral is "MIR2619 microRNA precursor family". It matches the Rfam family "MIR2619 microRNA precursor family". The record is from Rfam by way of RNAcentral. Lineage: Eukaryota; Viridiplantae; Streptophyta; Magnoliopsida; Fabales; Fabaceae.
AAACCGUCCCUUAAGUUUUGCAAUUGUAGCAGUUUUGGCCUCCCAAUGCCAAUUUUUGGUAAAAAAUAACACGUGGAACCUCACUUAGGGUGCCACGUCAGCGUAGACUGAGUCAAAAUUGGCCUUAGAGGCCAAAACUGCCACAUAUGCAAAACUUAGGGGGCGGUUU